This 497-nucleotide ribosomal RNA is filed under the name uncultured bacterium. Its description in RNAcentral is "partial 16S ribosomal RNA". It matches the Rfam family "Bacterial small subunit ribosomal RNA", at positions 28 to 507 of the family's 1533-position model. The record is from RNAcentral.
GAUGAACGCUGGCGGCGUGCCUAAUACAUGCAAGUCGAGCGAACGGACGAGAAGCUUGCUUCUCUGAUGUUAGCGGCGGACGGGUGAGUAACACGUGGAUAACCUACCUAUAAGACUGGGAUAACUUCGGGAAACCGGAGCUAAUACCGGAUGGUAUUUUGAACCGCAUGGUUCAAAAGUGAAAGACGGUCUUGCUGUCACUUAUAGAUGGAUCCGCGCUGCAUUAGCUAGUUGGUAAGGUAACGGCUUACCAAGGCAACGAUGCAUAGCCGACCUGAGAGGGUGAUCGGCCACACUGGAACUGAGACACGGUCCAGACUCCUACGGGAGGCAGCAGUAGGGAAUCUUCCGCAAUGGGCGAAAGCCUGACGGAGCAACGCCGCGUGAGUGAUGAAGGUCUUCGGAUCGUAAAACUCUGUUAUUAGGGAAGAACAUAUGUGUAAGUAACUGUGCACAUCUUGACGGUACCUAAUCAGAAAGCCACGGCUAACUACGUG